AUUGAACGCUGGCGGCAGGCCUAACACAUGCAAGUCGAACGAGUGGCGGACGGGUGAGUAAUGUCUGGGAAACUGCCCGAUGGAGGGGGAUAACUACUGGAAACGGUAGCUAAUACCGCAUACCAUCGGAUGUGCCCAGAUGGGAUUAGCUAGUAGGGGGGGUAACGGCUCACCUCGGCGACGAUCCCUAGCUGGUCUUAGAGGAUGACCAGCCACACUGGAACGGAGAAACGGUCCAGAUGCCUACGGGAGGCAGAAGGGGGGAAUAUUGAACAAUGGGCGCAAGCCUGAUGCAGCCAUGCCGCGGGUAUGAAGAAGGCCUGCGGGUUGAAAAGUACUUUAAGGGAGGAGGCGUUACUCGCAGAAGAAGCACCGGCGAACUCCGUGCCAGCAGCCGCGGUAAAC
This 405-nucleotide ribosomal RNA is filed under the name uncultured bacterium. RNAcentral's name for it is "partial 16S ribosomal RNA". It matches the Rfam family "Bacterial small subunit ribosomal RNA", at positions 29 to 525 of the family's 1533-position model. The record is from RNAcentral.